GGGGAUAUGGCGAAAUCGGUAGACGCUACGGACUUAAUUGAAUUGAGCCUUGGUAUGGAAACCCACUAAGUGAUAACUUUCAAAUUCAGAGAAACCCUGGAAUUAAUAAAAAGGGGCAAUCCUGAGCCAAAUCCCGUUUUCCGAAACCAAAGGUUCAGAAAGUGAAAAAAGGAUAGGUGCAGAGACUCAACGGAAGCUGUUCUAACAAAUGGAGUUGGCUGCGUUAGUAGAGAAAUCUUUCUAUCUAAAAUUCCGAAAGGAUAAAGUGAAGGAUAAACGUAUAUAUACGUAUUGAAUACUAUAUCAAAUGAUUAAUGACGACUCGACUGAAUCUGUAUUUUUUAUAUAAAAACGGAAGAAUUGGUGUGAAUAGAUUCCACAUUGAAGAAAGAAUCGAAUAUUCAUUGAUCAAAUGAUUCACUCCAUAGUCUGAUAGAUCUUUUCAAGAAUUGAUUAAUCGGACGAGAAUAAAGAUAGAGUCCCGUUCUACAUGUCAAUGUCGGCAACAAUGAAAUUUAUAGUAAGAGGAAAAUCCGUCGACUUUAAAAAUCGUGAGGGUUCAAGUCCCUCUAUCCCCAA
This 579-nucleotide non-coding RNA is filed under the name Hyperacanthus amoenus. RNAcentral's name for it is "transfer RNA-Leu". The stretch from base 26 to 503 matches the Rfam family "Group I catalytic intron". From Rfam's summary of the family: Group I catalytic introns are large self-splicing ribozymes. They catalyse their own excision from mRNA, tRNA and rRNA precursors in a wide range of organisms. Lineage: Eukaryota; Viridiplantae; Streptophyta; Magnoliopsida; Gentianales; Rubiaceae. The record is from RNAcentral.